RNAcentral lists this ribosomal RNA (492 nucleotides) under uncultured bacterium. RNAcentral's name for it is "partial 16S ribosomal RNA". It matches the Rfam family "Bacterial small subunit ribosomal RNA", at positions 29 to 507 of the family's 1533-position model. The record is from RNAcentral.
AGUGAACGCUGGCGGUAGGCCUAACACAUGCAAGUCGAACGGCAGCACAGUAAGAGCUUGCUCUUACGGGUGGCGAGUGGCGGACGGGGGAGGAAUACAUCGGAAUCUACUUUUUCGUGGGGGAUAACGUAGGGAAACUUACGCUAAUACCGCAUACGACCUACGGGUGAAAGCAGGGGAUCUUCGGACCUUGCGCGAUUGAAUGAGCCGAUGUCGGAUUAGCUAGUUGGCGGGGUAAAGGCCCACCAAGGCGACGAUCCGUAGCUGGUCUGAGAGGAUGAGCAGCCACACUGGAACUGAGCCACGGUCCAGACCCCUACGGGAGGCAGCAGUGGGGAAUAUUAGACAAUGGGCGCAAGCCUGGUCCAGCCAUACCGCGUGGGUGAAGAAGGCCUUCGGGUUGUAAAGCCCUUUUGUUGGGAAAGAAAAGCAGCAGGUUAAUCCCCCGCUGUUCUGACGGUACCCAAAGAAUAAGCACCGGCUAACUUCGUG